UACGUAGGGGGCGAGCGUUGUCCGGAUUUAUUGGGCGUAAAGAGCGUGUAGGCGGCCAGGUAGGUCUGCUGUGAAAGCCCGAGGCUCAACCUCGGAACUGCCUUCGAUACUGGCGAUCUUGAGUCCGGGAGAGGUGAGUGGAACUCCGAGUGUAGAGGUGAAAUUCGUAGAUAUUCGGAAGAACACCAGUGGCGAAGGCGGCUCACUGGCCCGGUACUGACGCUGAGAUGCGAAAGCGUGGGGAGCAAACAGG
RNAcentral lists this ribosomal RNA (253 nucleotides) under uncultured bacterium. RNAcentral describes it as "partial 16S ribosomal RNA". It matches the Rfam family "Bacterial small subunit ribosomal RNA", at positions 524 to 776 of the family's 1533-position model. The record is from RNAcentral.